GAUGAACGCUAGCGGCAGGCUUAAUACAUGCAAGACGAACGGUAAGAUUUGUAGCAAUACGAAUCCUAGAGUGUCGUAAGGGUGCGUAACACGUAUGCAAUCUGCCCUGUACAGGAGUAUAGCUCCCCGAAAGGGGAAUUAACCCUCCAUAAUAUGAUUGUUCGGCAUCGGGCGAUCAUUAAAACUGAGGUGGUACAGGAUGAGCAUGCGUCUGAUUAGCUAGUUGGUGAGGUAACGGCUCACCAAGGCGAUGAUCAGUAGGGGAACUGAGAGGCUGAUCCCCCACACUGGGCACUGAGAUACGGGCCAGACUCCUACGGGAGGCAGCAGUAGGGAAUAUUGGACAAUGGGGUGAGAGCCUGAUCCAGCCAUGCCGCGUGCAGGGAAGACGGGCCUUCUGGGUUGUAAACUGCUUUUAUCUGGGGAUAAAAAGGCCUUUGCGAGGCAAAACUGAAAGGUACCAGAUG
This 467-nucleotide ribosomal RNA is filed under the name uncultured bacterium. RNAcentral's name for it is "bacterial SSU rRNA". It matches the Rfam family "Bacterial small subunit ribosomal RNA", at positions 28 to 484 of the family's 1533-position model. The record is from RNAcentral.